Molecule: unclassified non-coding RNA, 3385 nt
Filed under: Hevea brasiliensis (rubber tree)
Lineage: Eukaryota; Viridiplantae; Streptophyta; Magnoliopsida; Malpighiales; Euphorbiaceae
Source: RNAcentral
GGUCAUUGCAAUACAAGAAUAUCUCUCCCCAAUUUCUUGGCAAAGGGACACAAAAAAGGAUAAUUUUCUCCGCCUUGAUUAAAAUUUGAAGACUACUAUAUAAAUAAUGCUCAAGUAAAAUCCAGAAAUUUUAUCCAAAUUCAAACUUCAACAACCAAAAUAUGAAUCCACCUUUCCGCCACCUAAUCAAACUGACAAAAAAAAAAAAGGAACAGAAACAAUUUCCAUGCCUCGCUUUUCUGGCUAUGAAAAGGUUGAAAGCAAUCAGGCAUAAUAAAAGACUAAAGUUGCAGAUCUUAUGCAGCCAUCUUAUUUCUGUUUUUUUUCAUACUUGUACAUACAUAUAUGUUGAGCCAUCAUUCGAGUACAGAUUGUAAUCAGGCAGUAUUAUCCUUCUAAUUUAUCAUAUAGAUACCCCAUAGCAUUACAGUCCCUACAGGUAGAUCCACUAUCGACUAAAUCGAGUUGCUUUCGCUUCAGCAUCCAAAGUCGUAAGGCACUAGUCCCUUCAGCUCUGGUCCAUUAAGCCUGUUGUGCUCGAAACUGAAACAAUGCCAGGAAGCAAACGAUUUGAGCGAAAAUUCUCAAAAUAUAAUAAGCCAUAUGUUUGCAAGCCUAAAGAAUGAAGAAGAGGUAUCGUCCCAUAUUCUUCCUGUUUCAUGAAGGUUUUUCUCAAUGCAUUCAUUAGUGCUUAACAGGGAAAUUACACAAAAAAUCAUAGGUUUCAUGUUUACAAUACUUCAUUCACAUCACUGAUAAAUUGUGCUGCAGAAUAUUGUAUUACUUAGGACUUGUAGGUCAAUAGCAAUUCACUUUCUGUUGCACCUAAAUCUAAAUGCGAGCAACAAAGGCUGAUCAAGUGAAGAUAGCUGAAUCAAAAGGCCAGAAUGAAUCAACAAUCAGGGAAGCAGACAUUAAAAAAACUUCUACUGCCCAGUUGCAGGGUUGUCUAUUGCAGCCACUCAGACUAAUUAUAUAAUCCCAUAAGGCCAACCUUCCGCAUUCCACUCACAAGUUGAGCAUCUAUUCAAGCAUAGCUAUAUAGCACUCGGUUCUGAAGUUCACCAGGUUAAGCACUUAAGACAAAUUUCACAAUGUACUUAUUUCACAGGAACAGUUAUUAAUGAAGUAUUCCAGUUCCAGUUUAAGCAAAAUUCUUCAAAUUGAUGCUUGAUACUAAAUACUAAGAACACACAACUAGCAACUUCCACUUCUGCUAAGAAUUUGCAAAACCAGAAUUGGGGAUAGAUGAUACCUUUCCAUGGGAAAAGUAGCAAAGGGACCAUCUACUGGAAUUGUUCCACAGAGAUCAUUAUUAGAAACAUCAAAAACUUUGAGGUCUUUGAGCUUGGCGAGCUCCCUUGGAAUAGAUCCAGUUAGUUUGUUGUUGUUUAGCCGUAGGAAUCUGAGUGAUUUCAACUUUGCCAAGGACUUGGGUAUUUCACCUUCAAAUUUAUUGUCAUACAAAUCCAUGCUCACAAGAUUUUUCAACUUACCCAACUCUUUAGGAAUUUUCCCACCUAUGUUAUUCCUAUAAAGCUCCAAGUACUGUAGAUGCUGGAGCUGUGCAAGCUCUGGUCCUAAAGACCCAGAAAUGUUAGAAUUCCCCAAGUCCAAGCGAACCACAUGAUUGUUGGAAUCACAGGUGACAUGGAACCAGGUACAAGGAUUGACCAGAGUUGGGUCCCAGCUCUGCAACACAUUGGUUGGAUCAGAGAACCUGCUUCUCAAAGCAUGCAAAGCAUUCCCUUCAGAAUUGGUGCAGAGAGAAGGGGAGAAGAAGGAGAAGAAGAGGAAGGCAGUCAUCUGAAAUUUUGUUGACUUUUGAAACCGAAAUUAAUCGGAGAUGGCAGGUCCCGUGGCGGUACAGGUGCCCAACUCUCCGAUAUUUUCAUCGCCGAGAAUCCCUUCCAUCUUUUGCAAGCCAUGUCCGUCGCCUAAAAUCCAUGGCUCACAAUCACCUACGUCGUUAUCAUUACCAUCAUCUUCGUCUUCCCCUUCUGCGUUUCCAACAUCGCCUUUGGCGAUUCGGGUAAAUGAGAAAAGGUUGGAAGCGAAUUCAGGUACGGUGUUGAAGAGGAAGAGGCCGGGGAGGAUUGCUAUUCCGGUGGUGACUGAUGGAUUUUGUGGAUUUGGUUUAGAGACGCCGAGAAGAGAGGAGGAAAGGGUGGAGGUAAUUGAGGCUGAAGGAGAUGGGUAUUCGGUUUAUUGUAAACGAGGAAGGAGAGGGCUCAUGGAGGAUCGAUACUCUGCUUUUGUUGAUGUCAAUGGAGAUUCUAAACAGGCUUUCUUUGGUGUUUUUGAUGGGCAUGGAGGCUCAAAAGCUGCGGAAUUCGCCUCCAAGAAUUUGGAGAAGAACAUAAUGGCAGCUGUAGCAAGCAGAUGCGAGGAGAAAAUGGGAAUAGAAAUGGCAAUUAGAAAUGGCUACUUGACUACAGACACAGAAUUUCUAAAGCAAAGCGUUGGUGGUGGUGCUUGUUGUGUCACCGCAAUGAUUCACAAGGGCGACCUUGUGGUUUCCAAUGCCGGUGACUGCCGGGCUGUUAUGAGUCGCGGAGGAGUCGCUGAGGCUCUCUCCUCUGAUCACCAUCCUUCCAGGGAAGACGAAAGAGACAGAAUUGAAGCCUUGGGUGGUUAUGUGGAUUGUUGCCAUGGUGUUUGGAGAAUACAAGGGUCUCUUGCUGUAACUAGAGGAAUUGGAGAUCGACAUCUGAAACAAUGGGUGAUAUCAGAACCCGAAACUAAAGUUUUAAAGAUUAAGCCUGAGUGCGAGUUCUUGAUCUUAGCCUCUGAUGGCCUCUGGGACAAGGUUGCAAAUCAGGAGGCAGUAGAUCUUGUUCGCCCUUUAUGCAUAGGUGUUGACAAGUCGGAACUGUUCUCUGCUUGUAAAAAGCUGAGUGAAUUGUCAUCAAGGAGGGGCUCAAUUGAUGAUAUAAGUGUGAUGAUAAUCCAGUUAGGUAGUUUCAGUGUCUGAUUUUUACUUCUAGUAGAGAAGAAGUUUUGAUGGAGAUGGAUGAUUUUCGAGUCUCCUGCAAGUGUUAUUUUUUUCUUUCUAAAGAAACUUGACAGCUACAGAAGUGUGCAUGUCAGGCAGCUGAUUUGAAAUUUUACCCUGUCAUCUGGUUGGAUGUUGGCGGCGGAGGUGUUGGUUGUAGCUGGUGAUGAUAGGGGAGGAGGAAAGAUGAUAUUCCUUCUGUUUCAAUUGAAUCUGAUGUAUAUAGGAUUAUAGACUAAAAAUGGAAGCUUAUCGGACUAGAAAUAUAUAAUAUAUACAUUUUAUAUACAGAAAAUUUUCAUUUUUCUGUGUUGAUUGUUCCAUUUGAGUACCAUAUUUGGUUUGUAGAGCUAUUCCUGCAUAUCUGUGUGAUCCUUUCACAGGCCUAGU